GCCGGUGUGAUGGAAUUGGCAGACGUGACGGACUCAAAAUCCGUUGAUAGCGAUAUCGUGUGGGUUCGACCCCCAUCACCGGCACCA
This 87-nucleotide transfer RNA is filed under the name Oscillospiraceae bacterium. RNAcentral's name for it is "tRNA-Leu". It matches the Rfam family "tRNA". Rfam says of the family: Transfer RNA (tRNA) molecules are approximately 80 nucleotides in length. Their secondary structure includes four short double-helical elements and three loops (D, anti-codon, and T loops). The record is from RNAcentral. Lineage: Bacteria; Bacillati; Bacillota; Clostridia; Eubacteriales; Oscillospiraceae.